CCGAUUCUUCUUUUCCCACGGUUAAAAAAAAAUCUGGGAAACCAGCCCACCACUCCCCACGUUCCGCUAUAGAACCACGUCCGACCUCCCCCUCUCCCCCACCUCUCGGUCCCGAUCCUGUCUCUCCUCCCGAAAAAGAAUCGCCGCCGCCUACCUCGGUACCACACCCCCACGCGCUCCCUCGCCGGCCCAGAUCUCGACCCGCGGCUACUCCCGUCCCCCUGGUCGUCUCCGAGUAGAAGAACCCUAAGGUCGAUGGUAUCGUCGUCUUUGUCCUUAGAAGGCGUUGCCUCGAGGACGGCCCAGCGCGCGGUUUCGCGGGAGAGCCCGGCAACAACGACGCUGCUCACUGGUAAGGGUAGCGAGGCCGCGCAGCAGUCGAUCUAGGCGGCGAGGGAGAGGGAUGUCGAUGCGGAUGCCACGACGACGACAACCUCGUCAUGGGUGACCGCGACAUCGAUCCAUCUGAUGGUGGGAGCGCGGGCGGGCGCGGGUUUGACGAGGAGCUCGGAGGAGGACGGUGUGAGGAGGAGCUUGUUCAGCAGCACUGCUCAGGCCCCCAGCAACCACAGGUUGAAGAUGUCUGUGAUGGUGUUCAUCUGAGAUGUCAUGCGGGGCGCAUCUUUUCGCUGCUGGUCACCCGAGAUGUCAGUGACACUUGAAGAUGUAUCAAAAUCUGUCGUACAAAAUAAAGGAGCACCCAGGACGAUGACUUCCAUAUUGGCAUGUAUGAUUCUGGUUCGGCCGUGGCCUCUGAUAUCCCAGGGUGUGUGUCCUGUUAUGUUGGGUUUGCUAUGAUUUGGGUGCGGCUAGCUACACAGCAUCCGCGGGCCAUGCAUGUGACAUGCAUGCUAGCUAGGUAUUUUUGACUCUGGUGGGGCGGUGCCGGAACCGCCUACGCUGGUUACGACCGCCGUGGCUAUGCUUGAAGUCAGAAUCACCACGAUGACGGUAGUGGCCGCACUCAUAUCAAAACGGCAGCCACAGUAUGUGAUCAGGCCUUUACUAUCAUCCUCUGAAUUUGGGAUCACCUGCAGGAGAAAGAGCGCGAGAGCCUAAGAGGGUAGUACAACAUUACGAACAAGUUGUUUUUUAUCCAUGUAAUUGAUCUGAUACGAAGCUGAUGCCACAUAAAAGGAUAACUGAGUUCUUAUCUCCAGUAUGUCAUGAUGUUACAACUCAAUUAAUUUUCACCUCUCUAGCCACUAUGCACGGAAGGUAUUUGCUAAUCCGCACAAUGAUCUUUUCUAAUAAAAUAUGCCAAUAAUAUCACCUUCAUUUUUUAUUGAUGUCGUCUUAUUAAUCCCUGCUAUAAUCCAAUUUGACCACAUAAAAAGUUUUUCCACAAUCUUCCCAAAUAUGUAUUUUUUUUAUGUAAGUAUCUAACUGCAGGUGGAAGAACAAGAUUCACUGUGUGC
Long non-coding RNA from Triticum aestivum (bread wheat), 1418 nucleotides. RefSeq lists it as uncharacterized. The transcript has 3 exons. Lineage: Eukaryota; Viridiplantae; Streptophyta; Magnoliopsida; Poales; Poaceae. The record is from RefSeq and is a predicted model, not a curated record.